AACUAAUAGGAUUCCCUUAGUAAUGGCGAAUGAACAGGGAUCAGCUCAGUAUGGAAAUCGGGGCUUCCCAGCCUUGAAUUGUAGUCUCAAGAGGUAUCGCCAACGGAGGCGCAGAUGUAAGCCUCUUGGAAAAGAGCAUCAAUGAGGGUGAGAAUCCCGUUUGUCAUCUGCAGUCCCCCGUGCACGGUGUAUCUUCUAAGAGUCGCGUUCCUCGGGAUUGGAGCGUAAAGUGGGUGGUAAAUUUCAUCUAAGGCUAAAUAUGGGUUCGAGACCGAUAGCAAACAAGUACCAUGAGGGAAAGAUGAAAAGGACUUUGAAAAGAGAGUUAAAAGUGCCUGAAAUUGCUGAAAGGGAAGCGAAUGGAACCAGUGCUCUUGGCGAGAUUGUUGUGCGCUAUGGUGAUUGCUGGCUGCUUCAGCGCAAGCGGGGUAGUUGGUACUGAGCCUGCCGCGCGCAGUGUUUCUUACCUUGUGCGUCACCGUCGGUUCACAGGCGAGGAUACUUCUGAGGACAUGGUAACUCUUCCACGGAGGUGUGAAUGUCUUUGGUAAUACUCGUUUGUAGACCGCUCACCUUCGGGUUACGAUGACUAAAUGGUUCUAUUCGACCCGUCUUGAAACACGGGACCAAGGA
This 633-nucleotide small RNA is filed under the name Amphidoma languida. RNAcentral describes it as "eukaryotic LSU rRNA". It matches the Rfam family "Eukaryotic large subunit ribosomal RNA", at positions 63 to 672 of the family's 3401-position model. The record is from RNAcentral. Lineage: Eukaryota; Dinophyceae; Gonyaulacales; Amphidomataceae.